This 302-nucleotide ribosomal RNA is filed under the name uncultured bacterium. RNAcentral describes it as "bacterial SSU rRNA". It matches the Rfam family "Bacterial small subunit ribosomal RNA", at positions 30 to 334 of the family's 1533-position model. The record is from RNAcentral.
AUUGAACGCUGGCGGCAUGCCUUACACAUGCAAGCCGAACGGUAACAGGUCUUCGGACGCUGACGAGUGGCGAACGGGUGAGUAAUACAUCGGAACGUGCCCAGUCGUGGGGGAUAACUACUCGAAAGGGUAGCUAAUACCGCAUACGAUCUGAGGAUGAAAGCGGGGGACCUUCGGGCCUCGCGCGAUUGGAGCGGCCGAUGGCAGAUUAGGUAGUUGGUGGAUAAAAGACUUACCAAGCCGACGAUCUGUAGCUGGUCUGAGAGGACGACCAGCCACACUGGGACUGAGACACGGCCCAG